AUACGUAGGUGGCGAGCGUUGUCCGGAAUUACUGGGCGUAAAGGGCGCGUAGGCGGCCUGUCAAGUCAGAUGUGAAAUCCCCGGGCUUAACCCGGGAACUGCAUUUGAAACUGGCGGGCUUGAGGGCAGGAGAGGAAAGCGGAACUCCCAGUGUAGCGGUGAAAUGCGUAGAUAUUGGGAGGAACACCAGUGGCGAAGGCGGCUUUCUGGACUGUCACUGACGCUGAGGCGCGAAAGCCAGGGGAGCGAACGGGAUUAGAUACCCGGGUAGUCCUGGCCGUAAACGAUGGAUACUAGGUGUGGGAGGUAUCGACCCCUUCCGUGCCGCAGCUAACGCAAUAAGUAUCCCGCCUGGGGAGUACGGUCGCAAGGCUGAA
RNAcentral lists this ribosomal RNA (377 nucleotides) under uncultured bacterium. Its description in RNAcentral is "bacterial SSU rRNA". It matches the Rfam family "Bacterial small subunit ribosomal RNA", at positions 523 to 898 of the family's 1533-position model. The record is from RNAcentral.